This 274-nucleotide ribosomal RNA is filed under the name uncultured bacterium. RNAcentral's name for it is "partial 16S ribosomal RNA". It matches the Rfam family "Bacterial small subunit ribosomal RNA", at positions 523 to 796 of the family's 1533-position model. The record is from RNAcentral.
AUACGAAGGGGGCUAGCGUUGUUCGGAAUUACUGGGCGUAAAGCGCGUGUAGGCGGAUCGUUAAGUCAGGGGUGAAAGCCCGGGGCUCAACCCCGGAACUGCCCUUGAUACUGGCGAUCUAGAGUCCGGAAGAGGUGGGCGGAAUUCCCGGUGUAGAGGUGAAAUUCGUAGAUAUCAGGAGGAACACCAGUGGCGAAGGCGGCUCACUGGUCCGGUACUGACGCUUAGACGCGAAAGCGUGGGGAGCAAACAGGAUUAGAAACCCUUGUAGUCC